CUACUUCGCGGUGACUGGGAUUCUUGGACAUUUUUCGAAGACCCUUCUGCUGUUUUUCAUCCCGCAGCUUCUCAACUUCGUCAUUUCCCUUCCUCAGCUCUUUGGACUCGUCACCUGCCCACGCCACCGAACGCCUCGUUUAAAUCGUGCGACGGGGAAGCUGGAGAGCUCAGGCAACUGGACGCUCAUCAACCUCGUUUUGCAG
Molecule: long non-coding RNA, 205 nt
Organism: Physeter macrocephalus (sperm whale)
Lineage: Eukaryota; Metazoa; Chordata; Mammalia; Artiodactyla; Physeteridae
Exons: 3
Source: RefSeq, a predicted model, not a curated record